Molecule: RNA transcript, 9097 nt
Organism: Brienomyrus brachyistius
Lineage: Eukaryota; Metazoa; Chordata; Actinopteri; Osteoglossiformes; Mormyridae
Gene name: peptidase M20 domain-containing protein 2-like
Exons: 13
Source: RefSeq, a predicted model, not a curated record
AACUAAGCGGUACAGAGCAUAGCGAGCCACCAAAGGACAUGUUGUUUUGUUGAGUAAGAAAUCCGCGAUAUUUAUUUAUUAAGAAUGUUCUUUAUGACUUUAGUAGCCUAUCCUCUGAUUAAAAAUACUGUACUGUGGUAAGUGCAGCAGAAUUCGUCGCUAUAUUAAUUGAUUAAAAAGUGAAGCGUCUGCUUCUAUUCAUUGAUUAUUUCCCCCGUUAACUACAUAAUACUUUAAAUCCUUCGCCGAUUCGCUCGUUUAGUGCCGAUUAUGGAUGCGCAGAAUUGCACCGUGCCCCGGGAGCAGCUGGAGCAGUGCAAACAGAAAGCCGGCAGGUGCAUCGACGAAGCGCAGAAUAGCCUCUUUCUCCUAAGCAAAGAUAUAUGGAGCUGCCCCGAGCUAGCUUAUGAAGAGAAGAAGUCCCAUGACCGACUGGUUCGCUUCUUUUCGGAGGAGAAGGGAUGGCACGUAGAGCGUCACUACACGCAGGAAACGGCAUUCCGGGCUUCCUGGGGGCCAGCCGGCGGAAAGGAAGGCGGCGACGUGCUCAAUAUCGCAUUUCUGUGUGAAUACGAUGCUUUGCCCGGAAUCGGACAUGCUUGUGGACACAACCUGAUCGCAGAGGUGGGAGCUGCCGCAGCGCUGGGAUUGAAGGGCGUUCUGGAGAGCAUGCCUGACUGUCCCGUGCGCGCUAAGGUGACGGUGCUGGGGACUCCGGCAGAGGAGGAAGGUGGGGGAAAGGUUGACAUGAUCCUGGCCGGAGCCUUUGAGGGGAUUGAUGUAGUUUUCAUGGCCCAUCCCUCCCAGGAAGACGCCCCCUAUCUCCCAGCUGUAGCAGUGGCAGACGUGACUGCGAAAUACUACGGCAAAGCAGCGCACGCUUCUGCCUACCCUUGGGAAGGGAUUAAUGCGUUGGAUGCUGCCGUCUUGGCCUAUAACAACCUGUCUGCACUGCGGCAGCAGCUGAAGCCCGAUUGGAGGGUCCAUGGCAUCAUCAAGCAUGGCGGCGUAAAGCCCAACAUCAUCCCAGAUUACACCGAGCUUGUGUUCUACCUGCGCACCCCAAAGCGGCAGGAUCUGUCCACCAUCAAGGCCAAGGCUGAGAUGUGCUUCCAGUCCGCAGCCAUGGCAACGGGCUGCCGUCUCGAGCUGGAGUAUUCAAAGCACGAGUACCACAGCAUCCUCCGUAACACCACCCUGGACCGCUUGUACGAAGAGAACGGCAAAGCCCUGGGGGUCCAGUUCACCACCGACCAAGAGGUUCUGAGCAGCUCUUCCGGCUCCACCGACUUCGGAAACGUGUCGUUCGUGGCACCAGGAAUCCACCCGUAUUUCUAUAUCGGUACGGCAGUGCUGAAUCACACGGAGGAGUACACCAUAGCUGCAGGAGCUGAAGAGGCCCAGUUUUACACACUGCGCACUGCGAAGGCCUUGGCGAUGACCGCACUGGACGUGCUCCUCUGCCCAGAACUGCUGCAGCGCGUCAGGGAGGAGUUUGCGGAGGCCAAGCUGAGUGAGCAGCGGGGGCAGCAACAGCAGGCAGGAGGAGCCGGCCCCGAGCCUCAACAGCGCCCCCAGCAGCCAGCCGGGGCCUCCUCGGCCUGAUGGUUACCCCAGAACAAGCUGCCUGCAGUCACGCCCUGUGCCUUUCCCGUCAGUAUAAGAGUGCCGUAGCUCCUCGCCGUGCUGAUGUCCAUGCUACCAUAUCUGCUGCACGGCAUCACCUGAUCAGGGUGGGCCAGACCGCAAGUGCAGGGCAACUGGAGAAGAAGCAGAGGGAGGUGCAGUGCGAGAAGCCAUCGGGAGGCGUAGUGGCAGGUGCAGUGCAAGGAGGUAGCAGAAGGAGGCAGCGAGAGGUGUGGUGGGAGGAGGCAAUGGGAGGUACAACAGGAGGAGGUACCAGGAGGUACAGUGGGAGAUACAGCAGGAGGAGGUGCAAUUGGAGGAGCUGCCUUACUCUAUCUCGAAGCGUCCUCACCCUGCGUUCCCGCACGGUGGUCAGGUAGUUGACAGCAGCGUAUUCUAUCACGGACAGGAAGACGAAGACGAAGCUGACCCACAGGAAAGGGCAGUUCUGGAGCAGCAGGACACUGCAGGCUUCGUGAGCAGCUCUUACAAGUUAUGUGGAUAACAGUCACUCCUGAGGUACCUUACCCAGCGGGACUCUGGCAGGGACGGCCCGGCGGUCAAUCCAGAAGGACACCCAGGAGAGCAUGACCAUCAGCGUGGCUGGAAAGUAGGUCUGCAGCAGGAAGAAGAAGAUGUGGCGACGCAGGGUGAAGCUGAUGUACAGCCGAUUGUACCAGCCUGCAAGGAGCAGCAGGGGAACCAAAGAAUCAUCAGCAGCCAUGCUUGGUGGCCAUGGUCAUCAGAGCGUUGUUGUGGAUGGGGGCGUAUUCACCAUGCUGUACCUGUGCUGCUGUAAAACGCCAGCUUGGUGCUGGUGUGGAACUUCUGGAUGAGAAACUGGGAGAGUGAGAUCUUAUCGUCUAUCCUGAGGGAAUCAUUGCCCUUCUUCCAGUAGAGCAUCAGGUCUUCAUCGGUGUAGGCAUCUGGAAUGGAGUCAUGGGCUCUCAGCGCUGGGGAGGGCAAAGGUGGGGGGCAACGCAGAUGGACCACGGACUUACAGCUUUCGAUCUCCAGGGAGCACGUCUGUGUGUCUAGGGGGAAGUGGCUGAGGUCCAUGUUGCACAUGGCGGUGACUGUAACCCUUGGCAACCAAAAAUCAGUGUCAUUCAACCAUUUGAGUAAAUGCUAUGAUCAGUGUUUUUUUUUUCCAACAUUCCAUCACUAUUUAAAAUAUUGUACUUUAUUGCUUGACCAAAACUGUUGGAAAACAGACAUCAUAUAGGGGACCCCCCCUACUAUUCACUAGCCUUAAGUAGAUGAAAGCAGUAAUGAUAACAGAACAUGACGCGUUAGCAGAAGGCAUUGGAGUUGUUGUGAUCCAGAGGUAAAGACGUGACAACAGGCCAAAUCUGCAGUUACACCUGGGGAAUAGACCAAUGAAGGUACAGAUACUGGGAAAUAAGAGUGUCACUCCUCCUAGGCGCUGGGCACCCCUGCCCUUGCAAACUCUAGACUGACUGUGAUCUGUGCUGAACGAAGCCCAGGAAAUAUGCCAGCUGUGUUUCACCUUCCUCUGGAAAGGGAUGGCUUAUCUGCCCAAUCCGCUGGCCAGAGACAAAGGCCAAUCCGUGACAUAAACUACACUGCAGUUACACAACUCGGAGGCUGCAGGAGACCGGUGAGGUCAGGUCCUGCUGACACCUGAACAUAACGCAGCAGGAAGAGUCGCCUCGGUGUCGUUAAUAAUGGAUCGGCCUGCCGAGUACCUCAGGCUGUAGAGGACGCUGCCGUCGGGACACACUCGCAGCAUGACGUUAUCUGUGGUGGUGGCAUGGAUGAAGGACCUCUUUGAGUGGACGAAGAAGAUGUCGGGGACCCAGAUCUUCUUCAGCAGCCGGCUGUCGAAUGUUAAACUCUGAUUGUUGGUGCUGGGAAAGGUCAGCCGCUCGUCUUUCCAAUAGUGCCGCAGGUACAGGGUCAUGGUGAAGUCCUGAAACACGCACACACACACACACACACACACACACACACACACACACACACACACACACACACACGCACACCUUUGUAUUUAUAUGUUUGUGAUGACUCUCCAUUCAUGUCCAUAGGCAUAGCCCUAAUCCCACCAAUGACAACCUACAAUAUACAUCUAUCUCAAUGUGUUUAAUGGUUUCUAAUAUAUUAAUUUAACGUUGCAUAACUUACCAAUUUAAUGGCUUAACAGAAUUAUCUGUUCUCAGCCAUAAGCACUGAGACUUGCGGUAAGUUAAUGUUCCGUAAGGGACACAACCUUAACAAUAUGUGUUGUUGAUGUAGCUCAUUAAUAAUGUGUUGUUAACAGGCUUUAAAAGACGGUCCAGUAAUUUUGGUAAUGCCUGGACUUACCAUAUCAACUUCAGAAAUCGUGUCGAGACUUUCAACUUGUACAUCAACGCCAACUGGAAUUGGGGGCCCUUUAAAAAUCACGAAAUGUUUCAACACGAUAACGGUAGAAGAGAACGGUGUUUUCUUAAUGCAUGAGAGAAAUACGAAGAAGAGUGCUGGAUCAGAACCGAUAAUGAAACAAUCACAAAAACAAAUACAGAAUUACCUUCUGGCUGUGAAAAGGAGUUUCAAGUCUGGGGAGUAUUUACUAUUUAUAUAUUUUUUUGCGUUUUUAAAAAAAUGUCUGUCAAAAGCUGCUUGGGAAUUGCGCUGAGGGGGAGAGCAAACGUUGUGUUGGAGUUCGGUCACCGCGCUGUAUGUUACAGUAAACCACAGUUGCCAAGAUGAAGCUGAUGUGGCCGUGAUUCCUUCACAACCGUUUGACAUCCGCUACACCCUGAAUAGGACAAGUGGUUACAGAGAUUGGAUGCAUGCAUGGAUGGAUGGAUGGAUAUCAGACUGGACCAAUCAAACAGCCAAUCCCCAGCCUCCCUCUAUGCUGGACUGCACGUGCUGCAAAUUCAGCAGUAAGGCAGAGAUCAUCAACAUUUCCUCUAGGUGGGAUGCAGGGAGAUGUCAGUCUGAAAACGAGAGGCACUCACCCCCGAAGCCAGGCCUCAUGGUGAAGUCGUGCUCUCUGAUCCUUAAAGUCUGCUCGGACUUCGUCGUGCGGGACUUGGUCAUGUCCGGACUUCUCCUCCGGAUGGGACUGCGGGGAAGGGGAGACGGAGUUCAGGAUGCAGGUCCUCCUAGAAGAGGUGUGUCUUCACACGACGCUUGAGGACAGGAAGGGAAGAGGAAGUUUGUUCCACCACUGAGGCGCCAACAUUGCAAAAAGUCUUGAUGCACGUCGUUCUCUCUUAAGUGUUGGCGGUUCGAGGCGAGCAGUGCUUGAUGCUCUGAGAGGAUGAGAAGUGACACGAUUCUUGAUCAAUGCUGCCAAGUAAGGAGCUGUUCCAUUCUUGGUUUUAAAGGCAAGUGUUGGGGAUUUGAACCCGAAGAGCACGGAAGAGCCGGGGCCCCACGUCCUAAUGACAGCCGUACCCCCACUCCAGCCGGGGGAGGAGGGAGGUCCCAGAUGCAGCCCCUGCAGCCAAAAGUGCAUGAGAACCAGAGGCAACAGGCAGCCGACCCCGUGAGGGCGUGGCCGCUCCUGUACGAGCCAAGGCCAGGGCCCCUAGGACCCCAGGUGGCUGGGGGCCAAACAGCGCCCGAUAGAGAGCCCCACCCAUGCCAGAGAGGCCCAAGCCCCCCUAGGCCACCACCCUGAGGAAAGGGGCCAGCAACCAUGCCCAGGAGACCAACCACAUCCAGGACGGAGCAGCACCCAGGCCCCCACCAUCCACACAGACACCCCGCAAACACACCGGUCAGCCAUGCACAUAGACCAUACACACAUCCCCACAACAUACAGACACCCACACACAGAGACAAACUCUCCUCCCUCAUACACCUGUGUGAGAGGUAGAGUGUUGGAUGCGUGUGGAGAUGUAUGUGACUGUAUGUAGUGUAGGGGUGAGUAUGACUGUUGAGAAACUAAGAUGAAUUUAAAAUUGACGGGGGAAUUUUCAUGAGAAAGGGACAAAUCCUUCUAAUGUUGUAGAGCGGGUACCUGCAGGACUUGGACAGACUGUUAAUGUGUGACGAGAAUGAUAAUUCGUCAUCCAGAAUGACACAGAGAUUUCUUACUGCUUUUGGGGGGACAAUAAGAGAGUUUUAGAAGGAAAUUGUAAGGUCAAGAACCGGUGAUGAAUUGCCUUUGGUGUACAGCAGUUCAGUCUUACUGGGGUUUAGCUUGAGGUGGUUGGAUGUCAUCCAAGAGGAGAUAUCAGUCAGACAGUCUGAGAGUCGAGUUGAGACCUAAUGGUCAUCGGGUGGAAAGGAACGAAAGAGUUGAGUGUUGUCUCCGUAACAGUGGUAGGAGAGCUCAUGUGCAGACAUGACCUUCCCAAGAGAACCCAUGUAUAAGGAGAAGAGAAGGCCACCCUUCCUGGGGCUGACUGGGAGCCUUGCCAUGCCACCUGAAAUGACCAGUUAUCGAGGUAAGAUGCAAACCAUCGCCAGACUGUAUCUGAGAUCCCACGGCUGGAGAGAGUAUCCAAGAGGAACUGAUGGCUGACCAUGUGAAAGGCUGCAGACAGGUCCAAGAGAAUCAGAAACAAGCACAGGCUGGAGGAUUUGGCUCCACGACGUUUUUCAGAGAUGGCGAGAAGUGCAGUCUCAGUGGAAUGUUCCGCUUUGAAUCCAGACUGAUGAGGGUCACCAAGUGCAUUUUCAGAGAGGAAGGCGUUACGUUGGUUAUAAACCGCUCGUUCUAAUACUUUUGACUCGCACAUAACGUAGAAUCAUAUCAUGGAAUUCUGCGGACCGCUUUUCAAGUAUACCUGUUGUAAUGGCAGUAAAUGUUAUAUUGUGUUAGGUUUUGACACUGAAUUAGCUUCAGCGAUGUGUUUUUUUCCAGUAAUUUUAAAUGCCACACCACAAAAUGCAGAGUAUGAUCACAGUGUGAUGGCCCAUACAGGACGCACACCAAGCCUUUGCCCCCCUUGCAGAUUAUAUGGCUUAAAUGCAAUGAACCUGAUAAAUAAUCACUCACUCCAUGUCAAUAGGAACUCCACUGUAUAACAAUCCACUUCAUCUUCCUCAUUAAACUCAAAAAAUUAACAUGGCGACCCCCCAGGUUAGAGCACACCAUUCCCUGGCAUUACUCUAUCCAUUACUCUAUCCAUCUGUCAGGAUGCAUUCAAUAUUUUUAACUCGGAAAUGUCCAAUACCACAGUAAGUGCAUGUACCCCUGGAGAUUUACAUGAUCUGCUAAAUCGAUGAUAUUAUUACAGUGGAGAGUCCUUCUGCCAUAAACCAGCAGCUGGCGAUGGUCAGCGUGUGCGUCUCUUGAAAGCAGGCCUCCUCUGUGUUCACACUCUUGAGAGCAGGCCGCUUCUGUGUUCAGACGCUUGAGAGCAGGCCGCUUCUGUGUUCACACGCUUGAGAGCAGGCCGCUUCUGUGUUCAGACGCUUGAAAGCAGGCCUCCUCUGUGUUCUGAAGCUUGAGAGCAGGCCGCUUCUGUGUUCAGACUCUUGAGAGCAGGCCUCUGUGUUCAGAAGCUUGAGAGCAGGCAACUUCUGUGUUCAGACGCUUAAGAGCAGGCCGCUUCUGUGUUCAGACGCUUGAGAGCAGGCCGCUUCUGUGUUCACACGCUUGAGAGCAGGCCUCCUCUGUGUUCACACGCUCGAGAGCAGGCCGCUUCUGCAUUCAGACGCUCCAUCAGCUCUGGUUUGACUUACCUGCCAGACUUGUAACUUGUGACGCACUUUUCAGAUUCUGUCCUCAGUCUGCUUGUAGAGAUAAGAAGUUUAAUGUGCUGAGAUCCUCCGAGUCACAUUUACCAGGCAAAAAUUAAAGCUGACAAGGACACUAUUAAAAGAUUUUCGAAAAGUUCUCGGACAGGGUCAUAUAGUAGUAUUCCAUUUUGUAAUGAAAGCACAUAUAUUGAAAGACAGGAACAGAUGCAUUUUAAAUGAACAUCUACACCAUGUCUUUCUAUUAUAGAUUAAGAUGCAGGAUAGAAGUGUUCACCCUACUGUAACAGUGAGGGGUCAGAGGGGAGAUUAUUCCCAGCACCCUGGACAGGAUACCAGUCCAUGGCAGGGCACGGGGCUGGGGUACACCCUGGGUGAAAUGCCAGUCCAUCACAAUUGCUAUAAUGUUCCAUAGUUCAGCUCUGGACGUAUGUGGAUCUCAGAACAAUGUCUCAGUUGGUCACAACCAAGCUAUACUGGCCUCCGAACAUCACAAAGCAUCAGUCUGUCAAUCUCCUGGGGGAGGGGAGAGGGGGUCAUUGGUGGUGCAGUUAGUGGGCAGGCAAUCUCUCCCAAUUAUAUUUUCUAAAUGUAGAAAUUCUAGAUAAUUAAUCCCGGGGAAAUUUAUUUAAGUAUCCAUAGAAUUAACCACAAAAUAAUUUAAGAGCGCAACACUCUUCGUGAAUUCACGCAUAAUUAGUAAACAUUGUGGAGUCUAAAUGAAACAUUUAUUGUGAGACAACCGUAUGAUGACGUUCUUACAUUGUUAAAUACGUGUGAUAAAACACUACAAUUCAGGCGUAGCCUAUUAUACAAAACUGAUAUUUUACUGGACAGUAAGUAUAAAAUAUUCUGGCUAUUUAUAAUUUUGAAUAGCAACAAUGCGCAACACAGUCACUGCACAUAACCACCAACCCAGGUUAAUCUAUUUUUCAGAAAUAUCUGUCAUUUACCGGAACAUAUUGUCCACUACGAUAAUAUUUCAAAUACAGCAUGUCAGAAAUCCGUGGAGUGUUAUCUGGCUCCUACAGAGGGAUCAAUAUGGAUCUUUGGGACAAACUCCACACACUUCUGACGUUCAUGGAGCGAAAGGCGUUCUCCUCACCUGCUCUGGCCAUAGGUUGCCAGCCGGCGGCCCUCACGCCGGUCGGAUCUGCCCGCCGAGACAAGCGCACACAUGCAGACCAGCAGCAAGGUUUCCCUUUGCAUCCUGCCGACACACGCGGAUGGAGUCUGAUAAAAAGCUGUGCAGAAGCUUAGAUCGUGCAGGAUACGACACUAUGGAGACCGGCAAAGUCGCGUACAGAAACGUGGAACGAUAUUUAAUCUUCACCCUGGAAAUAAAAUUCCACUAAAUCCACAAAUCCUCCAUGUCAGAUGGCAGGGAUUUUCGCUUCCAAAGAUUUGUCCUCGCAGGUUAAUAGGUGAGCUGUGGGUCAUGACAGACGCAGCUAUUUGUGUCUUAUCCUUUUCUUUUGCGCGGUUUUACCUUUAUUACAGUGCGACGUUAUUCAUGCACAUGUGUUUCACGUGUAGUAAAACAGUCUUACUCUUUAGAGGUGUCCAUACACACGUUAACACUUUAUCUACAGGUUAAAUACACGGUUGCUGUUGUUGCUGAACUACGAUUCAGAACUUUUUUAAUGAAGAGACCUAAUUUUUGGUUCUUGGAUCGCACGCGGAAUGGUUAAAAAGGUGGAGUAAUUGAAGUCUGUCCUAAUUCAGUUGCAAAACUAAUCUUAUUGAACAACAACCCGAUAACGGAUUUUCGGCUUAUGGCUAAUAAAUUUAAUUUGGUUUGGCU